UGGGGAAUUUUGGACAAUGGGGGCAACCCUGAUCCAGCAAUGCCGCGUGUGUGAAGAAGGUCUUCGGAUCGUAAAGCACUUUCGACGGGGACGAUGAUGACGGUACCCGUAGAAGAAGCCCCGGCUAACUUCGUGCCAGCAGCCGCGGUAAUACGAAGGGGGCUAGCGUUACUCGGAAUUACUGGGCGUAAAGGGCGCGUAGGCGGCGCUCCAAGUUAGGCGUGAAAGUCCUGGGCUCAACCUGGGAACUGCGCUUAAGACUGGAGUGCUUGAGGAUGGAAGAGGGUCGUGGAAUUCCCAGUGUAGAGGUGAAAUUCGUAGAUAUUGGGAAGAACACCGGUGGCGAAGGCGGCGACCUGGUCCAUUACUGACGCUGAGGCGCGACAGCGUGGGGAGCAAAC
Molecule: ribosomal RNA, 401 nt
Filed under: uncultured bacterium
Lineage: Bacteria
Description: bacterial SSU rRNA
Rfam family: Bacterial small subunit ribosomal RNA
Source: RNAcentral